AAUCCCCUGCCUGACGCGUGAUGGCGUAAACAAUGUGGAACCAACAUACUCACUCUGGGAACCGUAAAGACAAUGGUGAGCAAACCCUUAUGUACAGGGAAGCCUAAAGUUGUCGUAAGGUGCCCACCUGGAUAGACCAGGUUCAAUUGUCGAAACCACACGGUUAGGCGGGGGGCAA
Molecule: non-coding RNA, 178 nt
Filed under: Acidobacteriota bacterium
Lineage: Bacteria; Pseudomonadati; Acidobacteriota
Description: Acidobacteria bacterium (activated sludge metagenome) 6S RNA
Rfam family: 6S / SsrS RNA
About the family: E. coli 6S RNA was the first non coding RNA to be sequenced, but its function was unknown until recently. It consists of 184 nucleotides that fold into an extended hairpin structure with a large single-stranded internal bulge.
Source: RNAcentral